AUUAAUAAGCGGAGGAAAAGAAACUAACAAGGAUUCCCUCAGUAACGGCGAGUGAAGCGGGAAGAGCUCAAAUUUGAAAUCUCCGGUGCUUGCAUCGGCGAGUUGUAGUUGCGAGAAGCACUUUCUAGGUGGAUCGGCGGUGCCUAAGUUGCUUGGAACAGCACGUCGCAGAGGGUGACAACCCCGUCUGUGGCGCCGCCGGCCGCUGACGAUGUGCUUUCGAAGAGUCGGGUUGUUUGGGAAUGCAGCCCAAAAUGGGUGGUAAACUCCAUCUAAAGCUAAAUACUGGCGUGAGACCGAUAGCGAACAAGUACCGUGAGGGAAAGAUGAAAAGAACUUUGAAAAGAGAGUUAAAAAGUACGUGAAACCGUCGGAAGGGAAACGAAUGGACUCAGCAAUGCGCCCUCUGAGAUUCAGCCGCGUGGGUGGCGUCGGCGCGGGGUUUGCGGAUCUGAAUGGACCGCGGCCCGGCGCUCGCUGCUCCCCGCCGUCGCACUUCUCUGGGGCGCGCGUCAACGUGGGUUGGGACUGGGUCUGAAAGGUGCCGGGAAGGUAGGUGUGGGCCUUCGGGUCCGUUCUGUUACAGCCCGGUUCUCUCAUGGCUCGGGCCCGACCGAGGAGCAGACAGGGCAUGCCUCCUGUGGCUAGGGUCCCGUCCUUCCGGCCGGCUGUCCAGUGUGGUGGACUGCUUGCAGUGCUCUGCGACGGCUGCCGGUCGUUGGGGUGGUGAUCUCGUACCAUGCCCUUGGGAUGUUGGCGGUCAUAUG
This 767-nucleotide ribosomal RNA is filed under the name Dipsastraea danai. Its description in RNAcentral is "eukaryotic LSU rRNA". It matches the Rfam family "Eukaryotic large subunit ribosomal RNA", at positions 42 to 636 of the family's 3401-position model. RNAcentral also lists the same sequence under 1 other name. The record is from RNAcentral. Lineage: Eukaryota; Metazoa; Cnidaria; Anthozoa; Scleractinia; Merulinidae.